ACUGAGGUCCGCGCAUCUGCUAGGAUGCUGGCGUAAUGGCUGUAAGCGGCCCGUCUUGGAACACGGACCAAGGAGUCCAACAUCUAUGCGAGUGUUUGGGUGUCAAGCCCGAACGCGUAAUGAAAGUGAACGGAGGUGGGAACCUUUCGGGGUGCACCAUCGACCGAUCCUGAUGUCUUCGGAUGGAUUUGAGUAAGAGCAUAGCUGUUGGGACCCGAAAGAUGGUGAACUAUGCUUGAAUAGGGUGAAGCCAGAGGAAACUCUGGUGGAGGCUCGCAGCGGUUCUGACGUGCAAAUGUCGACGCGGCCG
Molecule: ribosomal RNA, 310 nt
Filed under: uncultured Phoma
Lineage: Eukaryota; Fungi; Ascomycota
Description: eukaryotic LSU rRNA
Rfam family: Eukaryotic large subunit ribosomal RNA
Source: RNAcentral